This 462-nucleotide ribosomal RNA is filed under the name uncultured bacterium. Its description in RNAcentral is "partial 16S ribosomal RNA". It matches the Rfam family "Bacterial small subunit ribosomal RNA", at positions 28 to 507 of the family's 1533-position model. The record is from RNAcentral.
GACGAACGCUGGCGGCGUGCUUAACACAUGCAAGUCGAGCGGUAAGGCCUUUCGGGGUACACGAGCGGCGAACGGGUGAGUAACACGUGGGUGAUCUGCCCUGCACUUCGGGAUAAGCCUGGGAAACUGGGUCUAAUACCGGAUAUGACCUCCUAUCACAUGGUGGGUGGUGGAAAGAUUUAUCGGUGCAGGAUGGGCCCGCGGCCUAUCAGCUUGUUGGUGGGGUAAUGGCCUACCAAGGCGACGACGGGUAGCCGACCUGAGAGGGUGACCGGCCACACUGGGACUGAGACACGGCCCAGACUCCUACGGGAGGCAGCAGUGGGGAAUAUUGCACAAUGGGCGAAAGCCUGAUGCAGCGACGCCGCGUGAGGGAUGACGGCCUUCGGGUUGUAAACCUCUUUCAGCAGGGACGAAGCGCAAGUGACGGUACCUGCAGAAGAAGCACCGGCUAACUACGUG